UGCACUGAGUGUAGAGGAGUUUGGUGUAUACGGUUGGGUUUGUGAGCUAGGUGUGCCAUUGAUGUCAGUGGCGAAGUUGGAUCAGGAAAGAAGAAGAACAUGAGUGAUUUAACGGUUCUAUCACUCGGGUAAAGAGCGCACACAGCUGGACGUCGUAUAUUCCUUUAAUCUAGGAAUAUGUCUAGCUAUUUUGUUUUUCAUUUUAUGCUCUGGUGGAAUGGUAAAGAAUUGGUCAAGCCGGUUUGCGCGGUGAGUAUUGUCCGUUAGAUGUUUUAAGACCUUCGGCGUGAAAUUUUC
Molecule: non-coding RNA, 297 nt
Organism: Triticum urartu
Lineage: Eukaryota; Viridiplantae; Streptophyta; Magnoliopsida; Poales; Poaceae
Source: RefSeq, a predicted model, not a curated record